CCUACGGGGUGCUGCAGUGGGGAAUAUUGGACAAUGGGCGAAAGCCUGAUCCAGCCAUGCCGCGUGUGUGAAGAAGGCCUUCGGGUUGUAAAGCACUUUCAGUGGGGAAGAAAGCCUUGGGGCUAAUACCCUCGAGGAAGGACAUCACCCACAGAAGAAGCACCGGCUAACUCCGUGCCAGCAGCCGCGGUAAUACGGAGGGUGCGAGCGUUAAUCGGAAUUACUGGGCGUAAAGCGCGCGUAGGCGGUCUGAUAAGCCGGUUGUGAAAGCCCCGGGCUCAACCUGGGAACGGCAUCCGGAACUGUCAGGCUAUAGUGCAGGAGAGGAAGGUAGAAUUCCCGGUGUAGCGGUGAAAUGCGUAGAGAUCGGGAGGAAUACCAGUGGCGAAGGCGGCCUUCUGGACUGACACUGACGCUGAGGUGCGAAAGCGUGGGUAGCAAACAGGAUUAGAUACCCCAGUAGUC
This 465-nucleotide ribosomal RNA is filed under the name Vreelandella stevensii. Its description in RNAcentral is "partial 16S ribosomal RNA". It matches the Rfam family "Bacterial small subunit ribosomal RNA", at positions 338 to 795 of the family's 1533-position model. The record is from RNAcentral. Lineage: Bacteria; Pseudomonadati; Pseudomonadota; Gammaproteobacteria; Oceanospirillales; Halomonadaceae.